Molecule: ribosomal RNA, 484 nt
Filed under: uncultured bacterium
Lineage: Bacteria
Description: partial 16S ribosomal RNA
Rfam family: Bacterial small subunit ribosomal RNA
Source: RNAcentral
AUUGAACGCUGGCGGCAGGCCUAACACAUGCAAGUCGAGCGGAUGAAGGGAGCUUGCUCCUGGAUUCAGCGGCGGACGGGUGAGUAAUGCCUAGGAAUCUGCCUGGUAGUGGGGGAUAACGUCCGGAAACGGGCGCUAAUACCGCAUACGUCCUGAGGGCGAAAUUGGGGGAUCUUCGGACCUCACGCUAUCAGAUUAGCCUAGGUCGGAUUAGCUAGUUGGUGGGGUAAAGGCCUACCAAGGCGACGAUCCGUAACUGGUCUGAGAGGAUGAUCAGUCACACUGGAACUGAGACACGGUCCAGACUCCUACGGGAGGCAGCAGUGGGGAAUAUUGGACAAUGGGCGAAAGCCUGAUCUAGCCAUGCCGCGUGUGUGAAGAAGGUCUUCUGAUGGUAAAGCACUUUAAGUUGGGAGGAAGGGAAGUAAGUUAAUACCUUGCUGUUUUGACGUUACCAACAGAAUAAGCACCGGCUAACUUCGUG